Long non-coding RNA from Ruditapes philippinarum (Manila clam), 561 nucleotides. RefSeq lists it as uncharacterized. The record is from RefSeq and is a predicted model, not a curated record. NCBI's taxonomy places the organism in Eukaryota, Metazoa, Mollusca, Bivalvia, Venerida, Veneridae. The transcript has 3 exons.
UUUUUGCUUCUUAAUGACGUUACAUGUAAUGGUAACUAUUGCAUUCCAAAUAAAUUCAUUGCUUUUUUUCUGAAAAUAAGAUAUAACGUUUAAACUAUGAACUACAGCAAAAUAUUUCUAUUAUAUUACUCGUAAAUUGGCGUGAGGCAACUAAAUUGUCAUCUAAUUAUAAACAUAUAAAAAUAUUAUUUACUUUUACAUUUGCUUGUAUUUCAAUAAUACAACAUAACAACAUCGUCUAGACUGGAAAAUUAAAUGUAAUUAUGUAUAUCAUUUUUAUGCAGCUGAAUAUGCAUUAUAUAUUGCAGACUCGUACACAAAGACAUUUAGUGCAGUCAUUUUACGUCUGUAUAUGAUGUGGACGAUGAUGAAUAUAAAGGCUUAUACCUUACUGAUAUUGUAUUUCAAUAGCGCUGCGGGUUAUGUGAACCUCGAGUCAGACACAAGCAAAGCAAACGAAUACCUGAUUGAGAAGUGGGAAAAGUUGUAUACUUCCAAUGAUUUCAAUCAUGAUGCGUUCUGUCAAUGGAUGACAUUAAACUGUUUGGGUAAGUUUAGAAA